RNAcentral lists this transfer RNA (72 nucleotides) under Loxodonta africana (African savanna elephant). It matches the Rfam family "tRNA". From Rfam's summary of the family: Transfer RNA (tRNA) molecules are approximately 80 nucleotides in length. Their secondary structure includes four short double-helical elements and three loops (D, anti-codon, and T loops). Further hydrogen bonds mediate the characteristic L-shaped molecular structure. tRNAs have two regions of fundamental functional importance: the anti-codon, which is responsible for specific mRNA codon recognition, and the 3' end, to which the tRNAs corresponding amino acid is attached (by aminoacyl-tRNA synthetases). tRNAs cope with the degeneracy of the genetic code in two manners: having more than one tRNA (with a specific anti-codon) for a particular amino acid; and 'wobble' base-pairing, i.e. permitting non-standard base-pairing at the 3rd anti-codon position. The record is from Rfam by way of RNAcentral. Lineage: Eukaryota; Metazoa; Chordata; Mammalia; Proboscidea; Elephantidae.
GCCCUGGUGGUGCAAUGGCUGAACGCUUGGCUGCAAACCAAAAGGUUAGUGGUGUGAACCCACCCAGGGGUU